CAAGUUUUCAAAUAUAAAUACAUUGGAAGUAUAAAAAACACGGUCCUCUUUGCUAUUUUACUGGCAAUUCAUUUCACAAUUCAAGAAAGUUUGAGAAAUGCAUAUUGCUACUUUUCCUCGUCUUGAGUGAAGGAUAUUGUCAAUACAGCAAGAGUUAUACUAUAGCUGGACGUUCUUGGUGCUGAAACAUGGAAGGUUUUAUUGUUGGAGGAGUGGUAGGAGGAACGAUAUGUAUAUUCGUGAUAAUAUCCAUUGUAUUGUGCUGUUUGGAAUCGGAGGAACGCCAAAACCGAAUCAGACAGAUAAAUAUAGAACCAGCAAACGAUAUCUUUAUUAGAAUACACCAAACCUCCUCCCAUACAUCCACGUAUCCUCCACGAGGACCACCACCGGCGUACCCGGGAAGAUAGCAUAAAAUAAAGGCAAUAACAAUGCUACAAAAUAUGAAAAUGAGAACAAACCAGUAGCAAGCAAAGUUAAGUCAGGCGUAAACUGCAGAAAAGUACACUCAAUAACAGGUCAUGAACAAAACUUUUGGAGGACAACACUGAAGCAUUAAUCAGGGGAACUUGGCAAACAUAUUAUAUAUUUUCCGGGUCUAUGAAUCCAUCUGUUGAAAACCGACCGGAUGACUUGCAUUAUUUGUGUUCUAGAUGUUAUGAUU
Long non-coding RNA from Mytilus californianus (California mussel), 664 nucleotides. RefSeq lists it as uncharacterized. The record is from RefSeq and is a predicted model, not a curated record. The transcript is spliced from 3 exons. Lineage: Eukaryota; Metazoa; Mollusca; Bivalvia; Mytilida; Mytilidae.